RNAcentral lists this long non-coding RNA (663 nucleotides) under Oryza brachyantha (malo sina). Its description in RNAcentral is "long non-coding RNA (OBRA_LNC001391)". Lineage: Eukaryota; Viridiplantae; Streptophyta; Magnoliopsida; Poales; Poaceae. The record is from RNAcentral.
CUUGUCUCCCAGUCGCCACUUGUGUCGUGUCAGAUAGGCCCUCUUGUCCCCUUUUGCUUCUGUUGCUGCUGUUGUAAAGGUUUUUGUUUUAACCAAAGGUUCGUAAUUAAACCCUUUCCACCUUAUCUUUUUGUCAUGAUAUGUGAUGACCCAACUAUAUAUAUGUGUACCAACUAUUGAUCCAAGGAUUGGUACUGAUAAACACAGAAGGUUACCGAUUAGCGAAAUCGAGGGCCUACAUAUUUUUUCACUACCUUAAUAUAAAAUCAGAAAGAUCUUAAUUGGUUUCAAAAGAAAAAUAAUGUGGGUAAUAGAGUACACCAAACACCACGAGUUCAAGAUUGACCAGUGGAAUAAGUUUGUAUGAGUGUUGCCCUGGUGUGCUCCUUAAGGCAUGCACGCAUGUGCAUAGCCAAAUUUCAUUGCAUACUCUCAGAUGUUUGAACUACACCUAUGGUCCGUGGCCGAACCACCACACAUAUGAACUCCACACCUGCAAUCACUCUUGAUAAUCAAGCCAAUUAAUAGAUUUACUAGUGCUUCCCACUCCCAAGAGGAGCUGAGAGAAUUCAUCACUAAAGUUCAGACCAUGAGUGUUAGAUUGGUUUAUGCACAACCUAAGGCAGCUGCUACUGCUAGUAUAUAUUGUCAUAUUCCUACACA